AGUAACGCGUGAGGAACCUGCCUCAAAGAGGGGGGCAACAGUUGGAAACGACUGCUAAUACCGCAUAAGCCCACGGCUCGGCAUCGAGCAGAGGGAAAAGGAGCGAUCCGCUUUGAGAUGGCCUCGCGUCCGAUUAGCUAGUUGGUGAGGUAACGGCCCACCAAGGCGACGAUCGGUAGCCGGACUGAGAGGUUGAACGGCCACAUUGGGACUGAGACACGGCCCAG
RNAcentral lists this ribosomal RNA (227 nucleotides) under uncultured bacterium. RNAcentral's name for it is "partial 16S ribosomal RNA". It matches the Rfam family "Bacterial small subunit ribosomal RNA", at positions 109 to 334 of the family's 1533-position model. The record is from RNAcentral.